UUGCAACCUCCGCCUCCUGGGUUCAAGCAAUUCUCCUGCCUCAGCCUCCUGAGUAGCUGGGAUUACAGGCGCCCGCCACCACUCCCAGCUAAUUUUUGUAUUUUUAGUAGGGACGAGGUUUCACCAUGUUGGUCAGGCUGGUCUCAAACUCCUGACCUCGUGAUCUGCCCUCCUUGGCCUUCCAAAGUGCUGGGAUUACAGGCGUGAUGGAGAUGAUACUCCCUAAAUCACAAGGGUGUGGUGUGAAGAUGAAAUGGCUGCACGUGACAGAGGAGUUGGAGAACAGGAAGCAAGUGGAUUACUUGGAUGAACUGUGAUGGGCCCAAGAAGAACUAAGCCAAUCACUCCAGGGGGCGUUUUCCCAGGAUCCAGGCAGAGAGCUGAUUCCAGCAUCCACGUUGUAUCCCCCUCCCGCUGUGGCCGGGGUCUCCAAGAGCCGGGCACCCACUGCAGAGCUUCCAAGCCCAGGCCCAUUUGAACACAGGAGGACUUUUGAGGUUCAUUUAACCCCAAAAUCAGUGAUUCUACAUCUCAAGCUCAUAUUUUGAAGUGUUUACGGACCAGGGAUUUGCCAAUUAUUCUGGAUGGGCACAGGGAAGGGGCCCUCAGAUCCUGCAGAGGGAGCAUCUGAAAGACAAUGAGACCCUGUACACAACCAAGCUGAGCCUCCUCGUUGGUGCAUGCAUGGAUCCAGGAAGAGCAGGUAUUUGGACCCAACGAGACAGGUUCAUCUUGGCAGUUUGUCUCCUGUGGUUGCUUUGUGCCUGCCCCGUAUCUAUCCACCCAACUUCUGGCAGCAAUCCCUCCAGGACCCACCUCUGUCUUCAUGGUUUGUGUGUUCUGAUCCUGCUCCUUGGCCCCAGAAUACACCCUCCACAUCUAAGCUAUGCAGUGCCUCAUCCCCACAGCUGCAGCGAUUGGUUUAGGAAUGGGAAAAUAAUCCAAUCAAAGUAAGAUUGUCUAAUAUCUGAUCCCGCUUACCCCGGAGCCAGAAGUCCCACCUUUCCAGGCUCCUCCAUGUUCCUUUCUGGAGCAAUGAGGAGGAAGGUUCAUUCCCUUCUCAGGGAACUUGCUGCGGUGUCCCAGUCCUGACUGUCCCCUCUCUACCCCUGCCUGUGGCUCUCCCGUCUCCUGGCAUUCUAACCUGCCACUGAAUUCUUCCCACGCCAAACGCAGGUUAGGAACCUAAGCUCGGAUGAAAUGCUGGCUUAGACCUCAUUGCUACUGAGAAGCAGAAACCACACUUUUUAGUUGGUAGAGGUGGAUGUGGAUUGGGGCCAUAAAGUUUCCUCAAUCAUUGAAUAAGGAUUUCAUUAUUUGGACUAACUAAAUACAUUAGAUUAUUUAUACUAACUAAAUAAAUUAGAUUUAUUUUUCGAAGUUUAAAAUCAUUUUCAAUAGUGACGAAAAAGGCUGUAGAUGAGAUGGGAGAAUCUUUCGACGCCAAAUUCUUCCCAUCUCCUGCCUAGUAUGUAUCACUACACCUUGCCCAGAGAGACUGUAGGGGUGCUCAGCAAAAACCAUGGCUGGUUGAUUCCCUGGAAAAAGGGGUGCUGUCCCAGGGAGCUCUGUGCCCUUCCUGCCAACACUGGGGUCUAGAGGAGGCAAGUUCCCCUCUGAAGGUGAGUAUGAUUCACUCAUUAAAACUAAGAAAUUUACAUUGGUAUGUUACUGUUAACUAACCUACAGACUUUUUUUAGAUUUCACCGUUCUUUACACUCUCGUCCUUUCCAAUUUCCGGGAUCCAAUGCAGGAUACCAGAGAGGGAGCAGGUCUAGAGAAGAACCAGAGGAGCUCAGCUGAGAUAUGGUGUAUGGAUUGGAUUUUGGUAGAAGAUGGGAAGAACCAAACACCUGAGAAACCACUUUGAAGAUCGGGGUCAGAGUAAGGCCUAACACAUAGUUGGCUCCCAGUAAUUAUUGGUUGAUUGAACAGCUCAAAGAGCAACUCGACCAAGAACACUGGACUGGGAGUCCAGUUACUUGGAUCUUGCAUUCCUGAUUUAUUUUUAUUUUAUAUGUAUUUUUUCUAUUUUUUUGAGACGAAGUCUCACUCACUCUGUCGCCCAGGCUGGACUACAAUGGCACGAUCUCGGCUCACUGCAAACUCUGCCUCCCAGGUUCAAGCGAUUCUCCUGCCUCAGCCUCUCGAGUAGCUAGGAUUACAGGCAUGCACCACCACGCUGGCUAAUUUUUGUAUUUUUAGUAGAGACGGGGUUUUGCCAUGUUGGCCAUGCUGGUGUCCACCUCCUGACCUCAGUUGAUCUUCCUGCCUCAGCCUUCCAAAAUGUUGGGAUUACAGGCGUGAGCCACCGUGCCUGGCCGUGAUUUAUUUUUUUUGUGUAUGUUUGUUUUUGUCAACUUGCUGUGUGACCUUAAGCAAGUUACUUAACUUCUCUGGGCUUCACUUUCCAUGGAUGAACAUUGUAAAGAGGCUGGAGAGAGAUGAGGACUAGGUACAGGCUUUAGAGGAGAGCCACCGCCCCGGACUUCUCCCUCUGUCACCCCGCUUUCCAUGACCCUCCUUGCCUGACUUUGUGACUCCUUGCCUCGCUAUCAAAACAAGUGCUGCAAUCUCAGUGCUUUCCAAGAGCCCUGCAUUGUUAGAAACUUCCCAGCACGCAGCAAAGGCUGCUGCAAUACUCGCUCUGCCUGCCUUUGCCCUGCGCUUCCUACUUACCCUCCUUUUGUUUCUCCCAAACAUCUGUCCCUGACUAUGCUCAUCUCAUGUUUGUCCUCAGCUGCUGAAAGGGCCACGUUUGUUUUCAUUACAAAUAAGACCACCGAGUGGGCUCCUGGCGUGGGGGCGGGACCAGCCGCGCGCAGUCUUCAGAGGCAGCCCCCCAGGCUGUCUCUGGAGGGUGUGUCUCUGCUUCCCUUUCCCCGUGUUUAUUUUCAGACGAAGCCAAGUGGCCCGGGGGGACCCUCCGGACUCCCAGCCUUCAGAGAGGAGGGCAGCUCGGGCUUUCGCCGCAGUGCUUCCUGCCCGUCACGUGUGUGCUCCUAGCCGGGGUCGGGGGAGCUGGUAUCUUGGCCCUUCUGGGAGGACGCGCACAGCCCGAGGAGGCAGAGCCCCAGACGGGAAUGGGCUUUUCAGAGGUGGGGUGCGGGCGAGGGGACGAUGCAUUAUUUUUAAUAUUUGAUUUAUUUUUCCAACUGGACUUCUUCCCGGGGCUCUUUCUGGGCCCAGCUGCCUUUGUGAUCCCGCGCCCCGGUCCUCGGCCUCUCACCUCCAGCGCCGGGGCGCCCCCUGCUGUCGGAAGCGGCUGUGACCGGGCAGAGGUGCUAUCUGGGACUCUGGGUUCUCAGCCCGGGGACAGCGAACCGAGGGGCAGAUGAUCCAUCAGAAAAGAGCCGGCACUGCCCAGCCCCGCGCCCCUGCCCCUGCCUUUUUCCGGGAGCGCGCCGCGCCGCACCCGCUACGGCCGCUUGACCCCAUCUUUGAGCCCGGCCCCAAGCUCUGGGACCGUCGUGCCCCUCAUCAAGGAAGAGCCAAGGACCCCAAGGAGAAGAGAAAGGAGUUCAUGAAGGCAGAAAUGCCUGGGGCCCACGAACAUCCCAGUGUGGCCCUGGACGGGACAUCAUGCUGGGCAACACAGCUAAAAUGCGGGUGAAGACCAGAUUUCUUGCACAUGGCGGUGACGGGAUGCUCCCUAGAGAGCUUCAAGUGGAUUCUUUGCUUUUUAUUUUCUCUCUUAAUAAAAAUGUAUGAUGUUUACAUUGUCAGAGAACAAACAGA
RNAcentral lists this long non-coding RNA (3738 nucleotides) under Homo sapiens (human). RNAcentral describes it as "HSALNT0381466". Lineage: Eukaryota; Metazoa; Chordata; Mammalia; Primates; Hominidae. The record is from RNAcentral.